AUUGAACGCUGGCGGCAGGCCUAACACAUGCAAGUCGAGCGGAUGAAGGGAGCUUGCUCCUGGAUUCAGCGGCGGACGGGUGAGUAAUGCCUAGGAAUCUGCCUGGUAGUGGGGUAUAACGUCCGGAAACGGGCGCUAAUACCGCAUACGUCCUGAGGGAGAAAGUGGGGGAUCUUCGGACCUCACGCUAUCAGAUGAGCCUAGGUCGGAUUAGCUAGUUGGUGGGGUAAAGGCCUACCAAGGCGACGAUCCGUAAAUGGUCUGAGAGGAUGAUCAGUCACACUGGAACUGAGACACGGUCCAGACUCCUGCGGGAGGCAGCAGUGGGGAAUAUUAGACAAUGGGCGAGAGCCUGAUCCAGCCAUGCCGAGUGUGUGAAGAAGGUCUUCGGAUUGUAAAGCACUUUAAGUUGGGAGGAAGGGCAGUAAGUUAAUACCUUGCUGUUUUGACGUUAACAACAGAAUAAGCACCGGCUAACUUCGUG
RNAcentral lists this ribosomal RNA (484 nucleotides) under uncultured bacterium. Its description in RNAcentral is "partial 16S ribosomal RNA". It matches the Rfam family "Bacterial small subunit ribosomal RNA", at positions 30 to 507 of the family's 1533-position model. The record is from RNAcentral.